UUAUGGCUCAGGAUGAACGCUGGCGGCGUGCCUAACACAUUCAAGUCGAACGGACUGAUUCGGUAGUAAUACUGAUGAAGUUAGUGGCGACGGGUGAGUAACGCGUGAGGAACCUGCCUCUGUGAGCGGGAUAACGCCGGAAACAGACGCUAAUACCGCAUGAACCGACAGUACCGCAUGGUGCAAUCGGCAAAAGAACUUCGCACAGAGAUGGCCUCGCGUCCGAUUAGAUAGUUGGCGGGGCAACGGCCCACCAAGUCUGCGAUCGGUAGCCGGACUGAGAGGUUGAACGGCCACAUUGGAACUGAGAUACGGUCCAGACUCCUACGGGAGGCAGCAGUGGGGAAUAUUGGGCAAUUGGGCGAAAGCCUGACCCAGCGACGCCGCGUGAGGGAAGAAGGUCUUCGGAUUGUAAACCUUAAACAACGGGGACGAAACAAAUGACGGUACCCGUUAGGAAGCCACGGCUAACUACGUGCCAGCAGCUGC
This 489-nucleotide ribosomal RNA is filed under the name uncultured bacterium. Its description in RNAcentral is "bacterial SSU rRNA". It matches the Rfam family "Bacterial small subunit ribosomal RNA", at positions 17 to 518 of the family's 1533-position model. The record is from RNAcentral.